Molecule: long non-coding RNA, 1967 nt
Filed under: Malus domestica (apple)
Lineage: Eukaryota; Viridiplantae; Streptophyta; Magnoliopsida; Rosales; Rosaceae
Description: long non-coding RNA (MDOM_LNC016525)
Source: RNAcentral
AGGACCACACAUUUACACUUUCCCUCUCUCUCUCUCUCCCUCUCUCCCGUUGACCCUCUCUUUCUCUCUCUUCCCUCUCGGUUCUUCUCCAUUUUCGUACUGUACGUACGUACGAACGAAACUCAACCAACCUAUCUCUUCACGGAUCAUGGUUGUGAAGACCAUUUUCAAGUUCCUUACGAGCCCAUGAACCCAGUGAUACUAUUAUUUGGACGUGAAACCUUGAAAAACCCGAGAAACCAUAACCUCCAAUUUGAGGUACUGUUCAUGCACACGUAAAUGUGUAGUUUUCUGAGAGUUUUGAAGUUAUAGGGAGCUUUAGAUCGUCUUCACGAGGCUUGGAGAAGAAAAAUGAAGUGAUUUGGACGUCGGGAAGCUCAGGAAUAGGGAGUUGCAGGUUUAGUCGGAACAUCGAAGGAUUUUUCGACGAGUUCCAUCGGUUUUAGGACGAGAUAUGAAGGUUUUCGUGAUUUUCCAGUUUUCGGUGAAUGGCGACGGCGACCGGCAAGGCUAACCGGAGAGGAAGAUAGAAUAUUCCUUCAAAGUUGACGGAAUAUUUUGACGCCGUAAGGUAGAAUUAACAGUUUCUGUUACUUUUUAACGGAAUAUUCCUAACGGGGUUAAGGGAUUCCAAUAGGGUCCCUGCGUGUGGCCGCGUGUGUUGCCGUGCCCUUGUCGGAGCGUGGUGGCAUGUGGGACGUCGGAAAAAUUUUCUAAAAAUAUGGGGAUGUUGAGGUUGUGUAGAUCACAUUGGUAUAUUCAAACAUCCCAUUUGAGCAAUGUAUGAGAAGUUAUUAGCUAGUAUUCGUUAUGUGCUUUAAAUUAACGUUUUUAUAGUUGUUUCGCAUAUAGGGGAGACUUAUCCCGAGGACGAGCGCGGUCAAGGGCGACUCGGGGGCUACGACUCUUUGACAUACCAGUGAGUGGGCUUUUGGUUUUCAGUAUAUACUUAUAUACUUGAUAUUUUCCCAGAAAAUGCGUUUAAAUGAAAGUAUGCCUUGAAAUGCCAUGCAUAUAAAUUUAUGUUCAAUAUAUGAAUUAGUAUAUGAUGCAUACUAUAUAAUUGUGGUGAUGUGGACACUCAGGUAAGUCCAAGUGAGUUUAUGAAUUGUAAAUGUGAAUAAUGAUUAUGAUUAAUUGAGAAGUAUAGAGCUCAUAAACCUGCACCUCGAUGUUCGUGAUUAGUCAGAGAUAUGACACAUGCUUGUAUAUAAUGUCACCUCCUGCACCCUAUGCUCACAUUGGAUCCAAUACAGACCAUUAUAGGUGAUUCCAACUCGUAGAUGACUAGCGAUUUAUCGCACAGCUAUCAUGAGAGCGUAGUAUUGAGCAUAAUUAUAUUACACCCAGUCUUGUUGUACAGACCUUUUCAGUGGUUCCAACUUGUGUGCAGUGUAGUGCCGUAUAGGUCAUUUGCAGUGACUCUGGUUAGAUUGACUAAUGAGCUAUGAAUGCAACCGUACAGACUUCUGCAGGGAUUCCGGCUAAUGUGUUAUUUUCCAUGAAUUUACUUUCACAUGAGUUACUUAUCUUGUUUAUAUCUUGGCAUGACAUACUUAUGAUUAUGAAUAUGUGUAGCAUGAUUUGAAUUGAUAUAUAUAGAUAUAUGUAUACGUUUAUAUUCUAUUUCUAGGAAAAAGUAUACAUGUUUUACGGCGAGGGGUUAGAGCACUUGAAAGUUAAAUGUGUUCUUAAAACCCUUGUUUUUGCCCACUCACGUUUUCUGUUUUGCGCCCCUCCAGGUUUUAGGUAGAAUUGCUGUUGGUGGCAUUGAGGAUCUCGAUGGUUCUGAUAGAAUAAAAUAUUCGUAGGAUAUCUUCUGGUACUAUAUAACUAGUACUUGUCCUACUGGACUGCACCUAGAUUUUCUAUGCUCUGAUUAGGAGUAUUUACUCUUGUAUCUCACUCCUAGCACUUUCCUGCUUAUUAGUGCACAUUAGUACCUUUCGGUUUUUAUUUAUUCGUAU